This is a long non-coding RNA of Anguilla rostrata (American eel), 354 nucleotides long. RefSeq lists it as uncharacterized. The transcript is spliced from 3 exons. The record is from RefSeq and is a predicted model, not a curated record. NCBI's taxonomy places the organism in Eukaryota, Metazoa, Chordata, Actinopteri, Anguilliformes, Anguillidae.
GGAAGAUGAACACGAUGAAGAACUUCUCUUCCUCUUCUUCUCUCGCUUUUUCUCCCGCCCCGGUGUGCUUUUUGUCUUCCCGGCAGACGUGUCGCGAGACCUGCUGCGCCCCAUCUCAGGUUUUCAGGUGAACGUCUGAAGCUCCAACAAUUUUUUGGAAUUCAGUUUUGCAAUUCCGGAAGCCAGAGUCCCUGCCAAUUUGAAGAAACAUAUAUCGUGAUGACCCUGGGUGCAGAACGGGUGGGAUUGCGUAGCCAAUCGGAGGACCCGCGUCUCACCUGUGCGCUUGAUGAUUUCCCAGACUCCCCAGGGCGUGGCGGGCAGCAUGGUGGACUGGUCCAGGCACAUGCGGCC